RNAcentral lists this ribosomal RNA (448 nucleotides) under uncultured bacterium. Its description in RNAcentral is "bacterial SSU rRNA". It matches the Rfam family "Bacterial small subunit ribosomal RNA", at positions 329 to 794 of the family's 1533-position model. The record is from RNAcentral.
UGCCAGACUCCUACGGGAGGCAGCAGUGGGGAAUAUUGCACAAUGGGGGAAACCCUGAUGCAGCGACGCCGCGUGAGCGAUGAAGUAUUUCGGUAUGUAAAGCUCUAUCAGCAGGGAAGAAGAUGACGGUACCUGACUAAGAAGCCCCGGCUAACUACGUGCCAGCAGCCGCGGUAAUACGUAGGGGGCAAGCGUUAUCCGGAUUUACUGGGUGUAAAGGGAGCGUAGACGGCGAUGCAAGCCAGAUGUGAAAGCCCGGGGCUCAACCCCGGGACUGCAUUUGGAACUGUGUGGCUGGAGUGUCGGAGAGGCAGGCGGAAUUCCUAGUGUAGCGGUGAAAUGCGUAGAUAUUAGGAGGAACACCAGUGGCGAAGGCGGCCUGCUGGACGAUGACUGACGUUGAGGCUCGAAAGCGUGGGGAGCAAACAGGAUUAGAUACCCUUGUAAC